AGGGGCCUGGUACUCGAGUACUUUACACACUCUGAAUGUAAUGGAAUGUCUUUUUGUACAAUGUACAACUAAAAACAACUUUCAACAACGGAUCUCUUGGCUCUCGCAUYGAUGAAGAACGCAGCGAAAUGCGAUAAGUAAUGUGAAUUGCAGAAUUCAGUGAAUCAUCGAAUCUUUGAACGCACCUUGCACCCUUUGGUAUUCCGAAGGGUACACCCGUUUGAGUGUCAUUGUAAUCUCACUACRRCCACUUUAUUGUUGUUUGUAUGUGGACUUGGAYGUUGCCGUGUAACAAACGGCUCGUCUGAAAUGCCUGAGUGUACCCUGCUUUUGCGGCGUAUUCGGUGUGAUAAAUCUUCACCGGAGUYGACUUUCGGGUCGCGCUUGUAUYGUCRGGCYCUAUGCUUCCAACCGUCCUAACAAGACAAUCUYUGACAAUUUGACCUCAAAUCGGGUGGGACUACCCGCUGAACUUAAGCAUAUCAAUAAGCGGAGGAAAAGAAACUAACAAGGAUUCCCCUAGUAACGGCGAGUGAAGAGGGAAAAGCUCAAAUUUUGAAUCUGGUGUCUUUGACUCCCGAGUUGUAAUCUAGAGAAGUGUUUUCCGCGUUGGACCGUGUACAAGUUCCCUGGAACGGGGCGUCAUAGAGGGUGAGAAUCCCGUAUAUGCCACGGACUACCAAUGCUCUGUGAUACACUCUCAACGAGUCGAGUUGUUUGGGAAUGCAGCUCAAAAUGGGUGGUAAAUUCCAUCUAAAGCUAAAUAUUGGCGAGAGACCGAUAGCGAACAAGUACCGUGAGGGAAAGAUGAAAAGCACUUUGGAAAGAGAGUGAAACAGUACGUGAAAUUGUUGAAAGGGAAGCGUUUGAAGUCAGUCACGUCUGUCGGAAUUCAGCCUGGCUUCUGCCUGGUGUACUUUCCGUCCGACGGGUCAGCAUCAAUUUCGACCGAGGGAAAAAGRCGUGAGGAAUGUGGCUGUCUYCGGGCAGUGUUAUAGCCUCGCGUUGUAUGUCUCGGUUGGGAUUGAGGAACGCAGCGCGCC
RNAcentral lists this ribosomal RNA (1043 nucleotides) under uncultured Sebacina. RNAcentral's name for it is "eukaryotic LSU rRNA". The stretch from base 441 to 1043 matches the Rfam family "Eukaryotic large subunit ribosomal RNA", at positions 1 to 606 of the family's 3401-position model. Lineage: Eukaryota; Fungi; Basidiomycota; Agaricomycetes; Sebacinales; Sebacinaceae. The record is from RNAcentral.